This is a long non-coding RNA of Rattus norvegicus (Norway rat), 2604 nucleotides long. Ensembl annotates it as TSPY-like 1. Its record names the gene Tspyl1. The record is from Ensembl. NCBI's taxonomy places the organism in Eukaryota, Metazoa, Chordata, Mammalia, Rodentia, Muridae.
AUGCUUUUAUUUACCAUCAUGCAUACAAACAGCAACAAAUACACUCCGAGUACAGUGCUAAUCUGACAAAGAACUUUUAUAACUAUGUGCAGUUUAAGAAGAGACUAUCAAGUCAAUCAAGUCACAUAUUUACUUUUCCAUAAGUCAAUAACUUGACACAUUUGAUAAAGACCAAAUUAUCCAAGCUGUUUCUAAGAAUUUGGAUUAAUAUUGAAAACUGUUAUGAAUAUUCACUUAAGUCUAUUGCUCUUCCAAGUGGUUUCAAAUGAAUGCAAAUGAAAGUGUUUAAAUUUCUCCAGUAAGUAGAAACAAGUAGCAUUUUACUAAAUGUUGGUAAAAUAUGAACACAGUAUUACCCUUUCACUUACAUUAGAUCACAUAUAAAGAGAGAAAAAUAACCCAAACGUGAACUGCUUCUUUAAAGAAGCGUUGUCUAGGCAACAUUCAACACUCAGAGAAAGUAUUUUUCCUGAGAAAUUCUCUUCCCAUCACCAAUGACUGGCCAAAAUAUGAAAGCUCUCAUCCUGUCUUCAUCCUCAGCCCAAUUUUUAUCUGACUUACUUUGACUCUAAGCCUUUUCAUUUUCAGCUCACUUUUCCUGCUUAAGGUACCCAUCACAAUCUCUUUAGUUCUUCCAUACAUUAUUAGGAAAAGCUCACCUGUUUCCAUCUAAUUCUGUCUCUGUAUUCUGUCUCCAUAUAAGCUUUUUAGGACUUGCUAGCUAACCAGGCUGAGGAGUGGGUAAGAGAGGAGACAAGGCAGAGUUCUGUGACCUCUUUUACAGAGCAUCCUCUCAGGAAAUGCUGAGUAUAAAUGAACUACAACUCCUGAUCUUACAGGUGUUUUUGAACUACUUUUCUUUAAAAUAACAGGAGAAAGGUGGGAGAGUGAGGGUGAGGAGUACUGGCAAACACAAUGAAGCCUAGAAAAAGUCACAAAAUGACACAGAAGGUGGCCCACUCCUGCAAUGACCUUUAGGCCCAGCAACUGUCUGAAAACUUUUUGCCCACAUUGCCACGUGCUGAACAGGUAAAUAGAAGAGCCCCCAGAUAAAGCAAGACAUCUAGGUGGCAGUAAAUGGGUAACACUGAAAACAGCGUCCACACAGUGUAAAGGCAGUGCGAUACAAAGUUUCACUGUUAAGCUUAGAAAAGGUACAAGUCAGGGCCACGAACCGGCAGAUACUAAUUCAGGACAGCAUGGGAGCCAUGUGAAGGCAGAAGCAUGCCCACAGUCUUAAUCUCGAGGUGAGGAGACUAUCCAAACAGAAGAUGCUGAAAAGUCAGGAGGAAAGAAAUCAAAACACUGCGUACCCGGUGCAUUUGCUCAAGCACAGGCGAGAAGGGACUUAUUCCAGCCAGCUGCAUUUUCAAAAGCAAGGUUAGCCUGACUGGAAGCCAAAAGGCCUGGGAAUCUCCACUGGUUCCCUUAUUGGGCGACGUCGGGGUCUACGGAUUCCUUCACGAGACAGGUAGUAUUGCAGUGGGUUUGGCCACAGGUCCUCUUUGAUAAUCUCGGCGAUCCUGUCAGAUUCUGGAACGCUGUGGUCUGAGAACCAGGUGAAGAAGCUGCAGAUGAGGUCUCGGUUUCUGCGAAUGAAGGACUGGGGCUCAUGCCCACUCCGCCAUAUGAUUGGAGUGGAAAGAGACACCACUCGGCCGGAUGAUCUCACUUCAUAUUCUUUGACAAUCAGCUUGUUUCUGAAGUAGGGGUUUCUUCGGAAAAAGAACUUGAAUUUGCAGCCAGUCUUAGGAUGCCUCAGUUCCUUCACCUCCAGAUUGGUUAUGUACCUUAACAUCUCUGCAUCCUGACCCCUAAUCAUGGCGGACAACUGAGGGUGGUUGCGGAAGGCGGUCAUCCAGAAGCCUGGGAUAUUCUGAAUGAUGUAGUUCCUUCGCUCCAGAUAGUGUCGCCGCAUCCGCCCAAACUUCUGCUCCAGAUGUUGGAAGGCCCUGUCGGCCUGAGCAUUCACGGUGUCCAGUUCCAGCUGGAUGGCCUCCAGCGGGUUCGUGCGAAGAUCGAUGCCCAGGUGCCAAGGCCCUGCCUCCUCCUGCGCCUCCCUGGCUCCUCCACUAGCCUCCGGCAUCUCCAUUUCUUCACCCGCGGGCUUCUGCUCCACCUCCAUCACCUCCUCACUCCCUUGCAUCGCCACUUCUGACUGCUCUCGCGCUGCCACCGCGACGGUGGCCCGUUCAAUCUUCACGUCGUGGGCCCGGGCCUCCGCUCCCCGAGUUUCUAGGGCCUUCUCCGCAUCUUUCGGUGCCACGAACGCCGCCGCCGCGGGGCCCUCGACAACAGGCGGAGUCUCUCCUUGCCUAGCUGCGGCCACCCGCACCUGGGGGCCAAGGCCCGCGACACCCCGGGGCGCUGGGCUCCCCACGAUCCCCGCGCUGCCCUCACCUGUCACCGCCUUCUCGCCGAGCAGCGGACGCCAGCCUGGGGUCCCCGGGAUAGUGUCAGCAUCGCAGAGGCCGCGGUGGUCGGGCACAGGGGUCCCCUCGUCCGGCUCCCGGACGCUCAUGUCCGGUCCGGUCGCACAGACCUCAGUUUACAAACCCUCAGGGUCCACGCAGCCCCACCUCCGCCCCUCGCUGUUUCUAGGGC